Molecule: ribosomal RNA, 180 nt
Filed under: Klebsiella pneumoniae
Lineage: Bacteria; Pseudomonadati; Pseudomonadota; Gammaproteobacteria; Enterobacterales; Enterobacteriaceae
Description: partial 16S ribosomal RNA
Rfam family: Bacterial small subunit ribosomal RNA
Source: RNAcentral
AAAUUGAAGAGUUUGAUCAUGGCUCAGAUUGAACGCUGGCGGUAGGCCUAACACAUGCAAGUCGAGCGGUAGCACAGAGAGCUUGCUCUCGGGUGACGAGCGGCGGACGGGUGAGUAAUGUCUGGGAAACUGCCUGAUGGAGGGGGAUAACUACUGGAAACGGUAGCUAAUACCGCAUAA